Molecule: non-coding RNA, 914 nt
Organism: Cajanus cajan (pigeon pea)
Lineage: Eukaryota; Viridiplantae; Streptophyta; Magnoliopsida; Fabales; Fabaceae
Source: RefSeq, a predicted model, not a curated record
UUGAUAGAUCAAAAGUUACUCUGGUUUAUUAUCGUUGAUUAAUGAAAAAAGCAGGGAAACACAUCAUGUGUGCAUGUUUCUUUGACUUCUAAAAUCAAUUCCUAUGUUUCAGUAAUCUACAGUUGAGUUUAAGUUAAACAAACUUUACUAUUAUAUUUAUUAUAGUUAAUUUUAUCUAACUUCAAAACAAAGCACUUAAAUUGCUUUGCUGGAGGCAUAGAAAAGAGAGACGGAGAAAAAAAUGUUUUUGCAUUUGAAGGUUCUGAGAGGAUUGAGAAACUUGAGACAUACAAACAGUGGCAGGUUAGGAAUACAAGGGCUGGUUUCAAGCAGCUCCCACUGAAUGGUGAAUUAAUGGCCAAAUUCAAGACUAAGUUAAAGGAAUGGUACCAGAGAUUUUUUCUUGGAUGAAGAUAACAACUCGAUGCUUCAAGGUCGGAAAGGCCGCAUAUUGUAUGCUUCCACUUCCACAUGCUGGGUGCCAGCAUAAUGAGAUGCUGCUGAACUCGAUUCAGAACUCAUAUUAAAGGUUCUGGGAUCCUUGGUCCGGUGACCUACUUGCUUAACCUUCAGUUGCUGUGAUGAAGAUUGUACAUAGCUUUGCUUCGUGUUACUUCGUAAAUUAUGGCACGACUUUUCUGGUAGAGUCAAGAUGUGAAUGUAAUGAAAAUUCUAUAAUGAUUAAGAGGGCGUGUUAGAGUAGGUGGGUCCGUAUAGCAUGUUUGCCCCAGUACUUGCAAUAAAAAAUGCGGAGUAUUUUCUCUCUAACCAGCAUGCAUUAGGCAUUUCACAUCAUUCUAUAUAAAUUUGUAAAAUAUUUUUACAGGAUAUGUUGUCCCUCGAGCCAAAUUAGCUACUGAGUUGACAAUAUGUGAUUAAUUUGAAACAGAUGACUAUCUUAGUUUGUUUUUUUU